CAGUCGCCACGGUAAUACGUAGGGUGCGAGCGUUAAUCGGAAUUACUGGGCGUAAAGCGUGCGCAGGCGGUUUUGUAAGACAGGCGUGAAAUCCCCGGGCUCAACCUGGGAAUGGCGCUUGUGACUGCAAAGCUAGAGUGCGGCAGAGGGGGAUGGAAUUCCGCGUGUAGCAGUGAAAUGCGUAGAUAUGCGGAGGAACACCGAUGGCGAAGGCAAUCCCCUGGGCCUGCACUGACGCUCAUGCACGAAAGCGUGGGGAGCAAACGGGAUUAGAUACCCCUGUAGUCCCUGUCUCUUAUAC
Molecule: ribosomal RNA, 301 nt
Filed under: uncultured bacterium
Lineage: Bacteria
Description: partial 16S ribosomal RNA
Rfam family: Bacterial small subunit ribosomal RNA
Source: RNAcentral